RNAcentral lists this ribosomal RNA (484 nucleotides) under uncultured bacterium. RNAcentral describes it as "partial 16S ribosomal RNA". It matches the Rfam family "Bacterial small subunit ribosomal RNA", at positions 30 to 507 of the family's 1533-position model. The record is from RNAcentral.
AUUGAACGCUGGCGGCAGGCCUAACGCAUGCAAGUCGAGCGGAUGAAGGGAGCUUGCUCCUGGAUUCAGCGGCGGACGGGUGAGUAAUGCCUAGGAAUCUGCCUGGUAGUGGGGGAUAACGUCCGGAAACGGGCGCUAAUACCGCAUACGUCCUGAGGGAGAAAGUGGGGGAUCUUCGGACCUCACGCUAUCAGAUGAGCCUAGGUCGGAUUAGCUAGUUGGUAGGGUAAAGGCCUACCAAGGCGACGAUCCGUAACUGGUCUGAGAGGAUGAUCAGUCACACUGGAACUGAGACACGGUCCAGACUCCUACGGGAGGCAGCAGUAGGGAAUAUUGGACAAUGGGCGAAAGCCUGAUCCAGCCAUGCCGCGUGUGUGAAGAAGGUCUUCGGAUUGUAAAGCACUUUAAGUUGGGAGGAAGGGCAGUAAGUUAAUACCUUGCUGUUUUGACGUUACCAACAGAAUAAGCACCGGCUAACUUCGUG